Molecule: ribosomal RNA, 460 nt
Filed under: uncultured bacterium
Lineage: Bacteria
Description: partial 16S ribosomal RNA
Rfam family: Bacterial small subunit ribosomal RNA
Source: RNAcentral
CCUACGGGUGGCAGCAGUGAGGAAUAUUGGUCAUUGGCCGAGAGUCUGAACCAGCCCAGUAGCGUGAAGGAUGACUGCCCUAUGGGUUGUAAACUUCUUUUAUAUGGGAAUAAAACGUUCCACGUGUGGGCUUUUGUAUGUACCAUAUUAAUAAGGAUCGGCUAACUCCGUGCCCGCAGCCUCGGUAAUACGGAGGAUCCGAGCGUUAUCCGGAUUUCUUGGGUUUAAAGGGAGCGUAGGUGGAUUGUUAAGUCAGUUGUGAACGUUUGCGGCGCAACCGUAAAAGUGCAGGUGAAACUGGCAGUCUUGAGUACAGUAGAGGAGGGCGGAAUUCGUGGGGUAGCGGUGAAAUGCUUAGAUAUCACGAAGAACGCCGAUUGCGAAGGCAGCGCACUGGACUGCAACUGACACUGAGGCUCGAAAGUGUGGGUAUCAAACAGGAUUAGAUACCCGAGUAGUC